Long non-coding RNA from Lolium rigidum, 233 nucleotides. RefSeq lists it as uncharacterized. NCBI's taxonomy places the organism in Eukaryota, Viridiplantae, Streptophyta, Magnoliopsida, Poales, Poaceae. The transcript has 3 exons. The record is from RefSeq and is a predicted model, not a curated record.
CAGUGGAAUGCACCGCAAAGAUCUCGCGGCUAUGCUACAAGGACUGGAAAAUGUUUUCACAUAUGCAUUGACGUGCAUGGAACUAAGAUCUGAUAAAUGGAAGGACCUAAACAUCAAAACAUGGAAAAUAGAAGAGUGUAUUAAGAGAAGCCUACAGACAGAUGGGUCAUCGUGUGGAUUGUGGAGGUUAAAUUUCAUGGAAUACUCGGACAUGAAAUAUUUUGUCUGACAUU